Molecule: microRNA precursor, 67 nt
Filed under: Bombyx mori (domestic silkworm)
Lineage: Eukaryota; Metazoa; Arthropoda; Insecta; Lepidoptera; Bombycidae
Description: mir-2774 microRNA precursor family
Rfam family: mir-2774 microRNA precursor family
Source: Rfam by way of RNAcentral
ACAACAUUCGGACCGUCGGUCUACCGAGCAACAUCACCCGCUGGGUGGAAGAUCUUCCUUUCGUCGU